CUCCUACGGGAGACAGCAAUUAGGAAUCUUGCGCAAUGGGGGAAACCCUGACGCAGCGACGCCGCGUGUGGGAUGACGGCCUUCGGGUUGUAAACCACUUUUGCCGGGGAAGAAGCAAGUGACGGUACCCGGUGAAUAAGCCCCGGCUAACUACGUGCCAGCCGCCGCGGUAAUAC
This 176-nucleotide ribosomal RNA is filed under the name uncultured bacterium. RNAcentral's name for it is "partial 16S ribosomal RNA". It matches the Rfam family "Bacterial small subunit ribosomal RNA", at positions 336 to 526 of the family's 1533-position model. The record is from RNAcentral.